This 471-nucleotide ribosomal RNA is filed under the name uncultured bacterium. RNAcentral's name for it is "bacterial SSU rRNA". It matches the Rfam family "Bacterial small subunit ribosomal RNA", at positions 329 to 793 of the family's 1533-position model. The record is from RNAcentral.
CUGCCCACUCCUACGGGAGGCAGCAGUGGGGAAUAUUGCACAAUGGGCGCAAGCCUGAUGCAGCCAUGCCGCGUGUAUGAAGAAGGCCUUCGGGUUGUAAAGUACUUUCAGCAGUGAGGAAGGUGGGUAUGUUAAUAGCAUAUUCAUUUGACGUUAGCUGCAGAAGAAGCACCGGCUAACUCCGUGCCAGCAGCCGCGGUAAUACGGAGGGUGCGAGCGUUAAUCGGAAUUACUGGGCGUAAAGCGCAUGCAGGUGGUUUGUUAAGUCAGAUGUGAAAGCCCGGGGCUCAACCUCGGAAUUGCAUUUGAAACUGGCAAACUAGAGUACUGUAGAGGGGGUAGAAUUUCAGGUGUAGCGGUGAAAUGCGUAGAGAUCUGAAGGAAUACCGGUGGCGAAGGCGGCCCCCUGGACAGAUACUGACACUCAGAUGCGAAAGCGUGGGGAGCAAACAGGAUUAGAUACCCUGGUAG